UUAUAGUUCAGUUGGUUAGAGCGUCAGAUUGUGGUUCUGAAUGUCGUGGGUUCGAGUCCCACUAG
RNAcentral lists this transfer RNA (65 nucleotides) under uncultured Phocaeicola sp. It matches the Rfam family "tRNA", at positions 6 to 65 of the family's 71-position model. From Rfam's summary of the family: Transfer RNA (tRNA) molecules are approximately 80 nucleotides in length. The record is from RNAcentral. Lineage: Bacteria; Pseudomonadati; Bacteroidota; Bacteroidia; Bacteroidales; Bacteroidaceae.